UGAAGUGGGUAGAAAUAUUGGCUAACAAGUCGGUAUACCUUCUAGAAGCCUCCAAAAUUGAAAUAUUCAGCAACCGUCGCAGAUUCUCAGUAAUAUAUAAAUAUUAUUAUUUUUUAAACAACCAAAAAGCCUCAAAUCAAAUUUCAUUUCUCUCUGUAUCUCCCGUCCUGUUGAAACCAUCCCUGACCUGAAACAUGUCGUCCGACGGGAACGUCAACGGCGGCGCCGGCGCUAACUCCCUCGUUACCAAUAAACCUUUCUUCUGCUACCAAUGUAACCGUACUGUCACCGUCACUAUAGCGUCCUCCGAUCCCUCUUGUCCCAUAUGCCAAGGUGGCUUCCUCGAAGAAUACGAAAACCCUAUCCCUAAUCAAGCUUCCAACUUCCGUAACCCGAAUCCAGUUUCCCACUCCUCCUCGUCGUUAUCAGAUCCGUUCUCUUCCAUCCUCCCCCUCCUUACGGCUAUGAAUUCUUCACCAUCUCCUGCUUAUGUUGACCUUGAGAGCACAGGCUUAUUCGAGUCGACCGUGACAACUCGAGCUGACCCGUUCGCUUUCGAUCCGUUUACCUUCAUUCGGAAUCAUCUCAGCGAUCUUCGUUCAAGCGGGGCGCAAAUCGAGUUUGUGAUCCAGAACAGCCCAUCCGAGUCAGGCUUUCGGCUUCCGGCAAACCUCGGGGAUUAUUUCAUCGGCCCAGGGCUCGAGCAAUUGAUCCAACAGCUAGCCGAAAAUGAUCCGAACCGGUACGGGACCCCACCAGCAUCGAAGUCGGCCAUCGAUUCGCUACCGUCGGUGAAGAUAACAAAGGAUCACUUGAGUUCAAAGUCCAACCAGUGCGCAGUUUUCAUGGAUGAUUUCGAGGAAGGGAUUCAAGCGAAGCGGAUGCCCUGCAGGCAUCUUUAUCAUAAGGAUUGCAUAUUGCCGUGGCUGGAGCUUCAUAAUUCGUGCCCUGUGUGCCGUCACGAGUUGCCUACGGAUGACCCUGAUUAUGAGAGGAGGGUUCGUGGGGCACAGGGGACUAAUGGAGGUAACGAUGGUGCUGAUACUGGUGGGAGUGGGCAGAGGUCUGCAGGGGAUAAUCAGACGGCGGAGAGGAGUUUUAGGAUAUCGCUGCCUUGGCCAUUUCAAGCUCGAGCGUCUGGCUCAGGAUCAGCUGAUAAUGCGGAGACCAGACAAGAAGAUUUGGAUUGAUGAUCACAUUUUAUCCCUAUCUUGACAAGGACUAGAUGGAAAGGAGAAGAUAUCUGACCUUGCUUGAAAUCCAGCAAAACAUCAGCAUUUAUUUCAUGGGCACAUGAUGAUAAGAAACCUCUUUCAAAGUUGGGAAGCAGAGUUUUGUAUAAACAUGGAGAAUUGAGAUCAGUAUGGGUUAUGUUUAAGAAAGUUCUUGCUUGUAUUCAGCAUUAUAUGUACAUUAAUCUGAAGUUUUUCACAGCUUUGUUUAUCAGUGACAGCUUACUUUUACUCUUUUCAUACAUUCUUUGGUCCCUGCCCAAUCCUCUUUCAUCCCAACUCUAUGCAGUUCUGUCUUGGAAGAGAUCAGUAAGUAGAAUCGAUGAAGAAAUGUCAUAGAAGUUCAGUUUACUUAGCUAUGAUGUUCUCAAGAAUACGAUCUUUUUAUGGACCUUCCAAAAAAGGAAAAAGUAAA
Molecule: RNA transcript, 1647 nt
Organism: Gossypium arboreum
Lineage: Eukaryota; Viridiplantae; Streptophyta; Magnoliopsida; Malvales; Malvaceae
Gene name: E3 ubiquitin-protein ligase RING1
Exons: 3
Source: RefSeq, a predicted model, not a curated record